Sphaeramia orbicularis (orbiculate cardinalfish) is the source of this 358-nucleotide long non-coding RNA. RefSeq lists it as uncharacterized. NCBI's taxonomy places the organism in Eukaryota, Metazoa, Chordata, Actinopteri, Kurtiformes, Apogonidae. The transcript is spliced from 3 exons. The record is from RefSeq and is a predicted model, not a curated record.
CGCCCCCUCCGUACUGCCGCUGUCCAUCCAGGAAAAAUACAGCUGUCAUUCUGUCAACUGUUCUCCUGUGGCUGUGAACGACCGGGCACACAAGCGACAGGAGGCCAGGAAUCACUUCAUUUAAGGAGAGACCAUCACAAGAUGUUGCCUCAACACUGAAGCAAAUCAGAGUCGCAUGCUUAACGACAAAGAAACUUAGAGAGAACCCUGUUCAGACUUGAACAAGGGUUCGAGCUCCAGUUCCGACUGGGCCCCAGUCUUCAGGGCAGGAGGGUUAUAGUGCACACCAACUACCCACUGGAUAGCCACCCAUUUAAGCGAGACUGCUUCCGUGCUUUGGCUUGGAACUACCCAUCAG